UGUAAACUUGUACUCUAAUUGAUGUUGUCCUUAAAUGUUUGUUUAUUAAUCUACUUUUAGUUUUUGGGUAAAAUUAGAGAUUUUGUUAAUUAUUGUUUGAGGACAAAAAAUUUAGUGAGCGAGCCAGAUUAGUACCUGGUUAGAUAAAAGUUAAAAGAGCAGGAGUAAGGUUGUAUUUAAACUGUAAGAAUAUUGGCAGGUUUUUAAAUUAUCUUUGGAGGUUGAAUAGUAAUUGAGAGCCCUCAUUAUCUACUUUUAUUUUAGGCGCAUGUAUGAUCGUUUAUUUUAUUCUUGAGGAUUGUAAUUUUAGUUUAUAGCUGUAAAAAUAGAUAUAUACUUGGUCUAUAUUAAAGUUUAUUUUGACCUACAAUAUUAUAUGUUAUGGAUAAUAUUUGUAGUAAAUAUUUGAAAUUGUAAAAGACAGUAAAAUCUUUUUAAUGUGGAUUUGAAGUUUAUUUAAAAACGGUACAAAUCAUCCAUCAAUUGCCCAUAGG
Molecule: non-coding RNA, 494 nt
Filed under: Contracaecum osculatum
Lineage: Eukaryota; Metazoa; Nematoda; Chromadorea; Rhabditida; Anisakidae
Source: RNAcentral